CCUACGGGAGGCUGCAGUGAGGAAUAUUGGUCAAUGGGCGGGAGCCUGAACCAGCCAAGUCGCGUGAGGGAAGACGGUCCUAUGGAUUGUAAACCUCUUUAGGCGGGGAGCAAUGCCGGGCACGCGUGCCCGGAGGGAGAGUACCCGCAGAAUAAGCAUCGGCUAACUCCGUGCCAGCAGCCGCGGUAAUACGGAGGAUGCGAGCGUUAUCCGGAGUGACUGGGUGUAAAGAGUUGCGUAGGUGGCAUAGUAAGUAGCUAGUGAAAUCUGGUGGCUCAACCAUUCAGACUAUUAGCUAAACUGCUAAGCUCGAGACCGUUAGGGGUAACUGGAAUUUCUAGUGUAGGAGUGAAAUCCGUAGAUAUUAGAAGGAACACCGAUAGCGUAGGCAGGUUACUGGGACGGUUCUGACACUAAGGCACGAAAGCGUAGGGAGCAAACGGGAUUAGAUACCCGUGUAGUC
Molecule: ribosomal RNA, 463 nt
Filed under: uncultured bacterium
Lineage: Bacteria
Description: partial 16S ribosomal RNA
Rfam family: Bacterial small subunit ribosomal RNA
Source: RNAcentral